GACGAACGCUGGCGGCGUGCUUAACACAUGCAAGUCGAACGGUGAACCUCUUCGGAGGGGAUCAGUGGCGAACGGGUGAGUAACACGUGGGCAACCUGCCCCCGGCUCUGGGAUAACUCCAAGAAAUUGGGGCUAAUACCGGAUGUUCACCGCUUCCCGCAUGGGUGGUGGUGGAAAGGGUUUCCGGCUGGGGAUGGGCCCGCGGCCUAUCAGCUUGUUGGUGGGGUAGUGGCCUACCAAGGAGACGACGGGUAGCCGGCCUGAGAGGGUGACCGGCCACACGGGGACUGAGACACGGCCCAGACUCCUACGGGAGGCAGCAGUGGGGAAUAUUGCGCAAUGGGCGGAAGCCUGACGCAGCGACGCCGCGUUGGGGAUGACGGCCUUCGGGUUGUAAACCUCUUUCAGCAGGGACGAAGCGCAAGUGACGGUACCUGCAGAAGAAGCACCGGCCAACUACGUG
Molecule: ribosomal RNA, 463 nt
Filed under: uncultured bacterium
Lineage: Bacteria
Description: partial 16S ribosomal RNA
Rfam family: Bacterial small subunit ribosomal RNA
Source: RNAcentral